CUGUUUAUAUCAAUAUCAUCCUGUGUUUGUGAAUUUGUAUUUUGGAAUUGUAUUUCUACAUUUCCAUCUGUAUGUUCUAUGAUAUGAUUAGGAAUGAACUGUUGAGGAAUUUCUCGUGGUUGAUUGGCAUUUUGUAAUGCCCAUGAUUUAGGUAGAAUUAUAUCUGACCAUUUUAUAGUCUUUGGGACUAUCAUAUUGGAUUUUUCUAUAUUUGUUUGAAACAAAAUUGUUUGAUCUUUUUGAUCAAGUUUCA
This 253-nucleotide long non-coding RNA is filed under the name Amborella trichopoda. RNAcentral's name for it is "long non-coding RNA (ATRI_LNC002521)". The record is from RNAcentral. Lineage: Eukaryota; Viridiplantae; Streptophyta; Magnoliopsida; Amborellales; Amborellaceae.